RNAcentral lists this ribosomal RNA (429 nucleotides) under Bacteroidota bacterium. RNAcentral describes it as "Bacteroidetes bacterium partial 16S ribosomal RNA". It matches the Rfam family "Bacterial small subunit ribosomal RNA", at positions 355 to 776 of the family's 1533-position model. Lineage: Bacteria; Pseudomonadati; Bacteroidota. The record is from RNAcentral.
UAGGGAAUCUUCGGCAAUGGGGGGAACCCUGACCGAGCAACGCCGCGUGAGUGAAGAAGGUUUUCGGAUCGUAAAGCUCUGUUGUUAAGGAAGAACGAGUGUGAGAAUGGAAAGUUCAUACUGUGACGGUAGUUAACCAGAAAGGGACGGCUAACUACGUGCCAGCAGCCGCGGUAAUACGUAGGUCCCGAGCGUUGUCCGGAUUUAUUGGGCGUAAAGCGAGCGCAGGCGGUUAGAUAAGUCUGAAGUUAAAGGCAGUGGCUCAACCAUUGUAGGCUUUGGAAACUGUUUAACUUGAGUGCAGAAGGGGAGAGUGGAAUUCCAUGUGUAGCGGUGAAAUGCGUAGAUAUAUGGAGGAACACCGGUGGCGAAAGCGGCUCUCUGGUCUGUAACUGACGCUGAGGCUCGAAAGCGUGGGUAGCAAACAGG